RNAcentral lists this long non-coding RNA (7969 nucleotides) under Volvox carteri. Its description in RNAcentral is "long non-coding RNA (VCAR_LNC000881)". Lineage: Eukaryota; Viridiplantae; Chlorophyta; Chlorophyceae; Chlamydomonadales; Volvocaceae. The record is from RNAcentral.
GUUCCUGUUGAAGGGCGGUCCUAUCCCAACGUAGAUAAUUGGUGGUUAGGCGAUGAUUCCACCGUGAUAGGCGAUGCCUCGGACGUGCAUCGACCUUGCCUCGGCCGUGCCUAGACCUUGCCUCGGCCAUGCCUAGACUUGCCUCGGCCGUACCUCGACCUUGCCUCGGGUCUCUCGGCCGCGUAUCUCGGACGUGACCUCAGGUCCAGGGAUGGUGGACAUCUGUACGAUACUUCCAUUGGUACUGGUAUAUAAGGCACGAGUUGUGCUAGUCUUUGUAUCUCAUCUUUGUAUGGAUCGGUAUUCCUCAGUAGGAAUCUCCUAAAGUCUUCCAGCCGUUUACCACUCACCUUCCGAUUAUAAUACUUAUAUCGCGACCAGUCUCCUUGCCUCCUUCAUAUUCUUAACAGGUUAUGAGCCCCGGCUCACGCUAAGCAGCAACUACCUCUAAUACUCGUAUUCCACAAUGGGGAAGGACAAGCUUGACGAGCCGCUGGACUUGAACAACUACGCCACCUGGCAAAUUCGGUUCAGCGCGCUGUGUAUGGAGCUUGGGCUUGAGCAGUCCUUGCUCGCCGAGCCGGGAAACGAGGAGCAGAUUCGACAAUCUCGUAAGGUUAUCAACCUGCUCAUCAAGAAUGUUAAAGAUCACCAUUUGCCGAUGGUUACGGGUGCUGCAAACGCGAAGAGGGCAUGGGACGCUCUGGCCACGAUGUUUGUUGCUAACAAUAACGCACGCAAGGUAACUCUCCGUCAAGAGUUCAGCCGUUUCAAGAUGGUCGACGGCGAGCCGCUACCGAAGUACGGCACGUGCGCGGCAAUUACAGUCAGACUUGUUGGGAGUGGGGCACGUUAUCAGCGACUCGGAGCUGGCAUACACAGUGCUGGUUGGUCUACCCAGCCGCUUCAACGUGGUAACGACGUCCCUGCUGGUGCGUGACGGCGAUUUGGACAUGGCGAGCGUCACCUCUAAGCUUUUGGCUAUCGAGGUGGCAAGCGGUGGGUCUAGUAAGCCUACCGAGUCGGCAGCUAUUGCUUCUGUCGGCGGUCUCACGUUUGGCGCCUCUGGUUCUGGUCUUAGGAGUCACGGCGCGGCCAGCAGCAGUUCUGGCGGUUCCCCCAAACAUUUGUUUUGUCACUAUUGCAAAAAGCCCGGGCACGAUAUUAAGGACUGCAGGAAGUUGAAGGCACUAAAGCAGUUGUCCAUUUCCGGCAGUGGACAUGGUAAGGGUGGUGGUGGCAGCGGAGCUAGCGGCAGCAAGCCUGGGCCCGGUGGGUCUGGAAGGGGAUCAGGAAUCCCACGGCAGGUAGCGUUCACAGCUUACAGCGGUGAGCGUCCGCAGGGGUGGUUCCUGGACUCAGCCGCCACUCACCACAUAACGUAUGACCGCUCAGAACUUCUCAACGUGCGGUUGUUGGAGCCGUGGGAGCGCUUCAACAUCAUGGGCAUUAAGGGACAGUCUCUUCGGCCGACUGAAGUUGGCACGCUUAUGAUUCGGUCUAAUGUCAACGAUAAACAGGCCAUCACCUUUAAGAAGGUCUACGUCGAUGAGGAGGCCACCGCCAAAAUCAUAUCGGUCCGCAUCAUUGAUGAUCGUGGAGGCAGUGUGGUCUUCGGCGGUGGACAGGUGAAAGUAUACAUACAGAACCAGUUGGUGCUGACUGGAAAGCGGGAUGGGGACUUGUAUCCCGUCUGCUACAGCAGUGGAGGUACGGGCGCUCUGAAGUGGACGCAGCGUGAAGACAACAGGAUGCCUUCUGGUGGUGGUGCAGUGUGUACUGCCGUGAGUAUCGGAGCUGAACGUGCAGCACUUUGGCACCGACGGUAUGGCCACUUGGGUUACAGCAACCUUGAGGCGUUGCUGCGUCACAAUAUGGUAACUGGGUUGGAUGUUGACCGACACAGCAUACAAUCAGCCAGUGCGUGUGUGUGUGAGACUUGCGUCCUUGCAAAGCAUACACGUGGUCCUUUUCCGUUAACUGGGCAUAAGGCAGCGCAGCCUCUCGCGCUCAUUCACAUGGAUGUGUGUGGGCCUAUGCCUGAACCUUCACCAAAUGGUUCGCGUUACGUGACCACCCUUCUUGAUGACCACACCGGUCUGUCAGCUGUUGCGUUUACGGCGACCAAGGAGGAGAUAUAUCAGAAGGUGGUGGUGAUGAUAGCGGACCUGGAACGGGCAUCUGGUCGGCAGGUAAAGGAGGUGCGCACGGAUCGUGGCGGGGAGUUUGUGAAUACUCGCACGAAAAACUACUUUGCGUCAAGGGGUAUAAUGCACGGAACUACGGCGGGCUACACUCCUGAGCAGAACGGUGCAGCAGAACGCCUGAACCGCACUCUUCUAGACAAGGCCAGGUCAUUGGCCAGCCGACACUCAUAUACCAGUGAAUGGUAACCACAGUAAUAGGACCCAACGGGGUCCGGCGCUUUGCUGGUCUUAACAGGUUACGAGCCCCGAAUGGCGCAUUGCGCUGCCGAAAGGUCGCCGGAUCGAUACCCACUGGCUGUUGCCCAGAGAAUGGGAGACCGGGAUGAGGCACGGGAAGGCCCGGAGCGAGAGAGUGUCGCUCACGGGGGUGUGUUGGAAAUGACCGACACUCAUAUACCAGUGAAUGGUAACCACAGUAAUAGGACCCAACGGGGUCCGGCGCUUUGCUGGUCUUAACAUGUACUGUACGAGGACGGCGUCGUCGCCGUUGUCUCGAGUGUCCGCUUUGAUGAGUCUAAUGUCGGCCGGCGGCGUAGUGCCGGGGACUCCGAUUAUGGGUCCGAUGCCGAUGAGGAGGAGGAUGUUCGCACUAACUUGCCUGGUGAGGGGUCGCUGCCUAGGGCUGGCGAAGGAACAUCAGGCAAUACCGUCGGCGAGGGAUCGCCGCCUUUGGGUGGCGAGGGGGCGCCGGCUGGGGCUGGACCUUCCAGCAGUGCGAACGUGCAAGAUAACACUCCGCCUGAUGUGGAAAUGGCAGGGACCCGGUACCCAGUUAGAGAGUGUAAACGCCCUGGCGAGUGGUGGCGAAACGAGCCUGGUCGCACUGUUACUGGUCGCAUUAAUGCUGCUUUUUCUGCUGUCAUUCCUGAACCGAAUUCGUUUGCGGAAGCAAUUGCGAGUCCACAUGCAGACGAUUGGCGGCGUGCGAUUGUUGAGGAAACGGUCCUCUCCCAACUCGUGUGGUUGUCGACCAGGGGAUUUGACCCCGGGUCUGCACCUGACUAAUGGGGAAAUCUUACCCCAGAACCUUAUGGGGCUACCGAUGCAUAUCCGGUAGCUAAGUGAUAGACAUUAGGGCACCGUCUGGACGGCGCAGUGAGAUCGCGGAAUGUACGUGCAGUUAGAUCGCGGAAUGUACGAGUUUUCCGCUAGCGCCGGUAUUUAGGGCGGUGACUGCGCCUAUUAGUUUAUCUCACAACGAUCGGUAUUCCUACCAGGAAUCUCCUCAAGUCCUGCCGAACGCUAACAAUACUCUUUACAUUACUUGUAACAGUUUAUCGUGCUAAAUAUCUUCGCCACCGGCAAUCCUUCCGGAAUAACAAUUAGCGUUAGCUGUCACCGUCGCCAAUUCUUCAAUAGGUUAUGAGCCCCGAUUAGCGCCGACAGUUAUCGCCCAAUUGUUAUUUCUAUCCCUCAUCAACAAUGGUUAAGGACAAGCUUGAUGAGUCGCUGGAUCUCAACAACUACUCUACCUGGCAAAUUCGAUUUAGCGCGAUGUGCAUGGAGCUUGGGCUUGAGCAAUCCCUGCUCGCCGAGCCGUGCAACGAGGAGCAGAUUCGACAGUCACGGAAGGUCAUCAAUCUGCUCAUCAAGAACGUCANNNNNNNNNNNNNNNNNNNNNNNNNNNNNNNNNNNNNNNNNNNNNNNNNNACUCCCGGGGGCGCUUAGCUUGGGAAACAACCCGAUUACGUCUGCUCGGUCGAAGCACAUCGACGUGCAGCAUCACAUAGUGCGUGAGAGGGUGAAUAGCGGUGAGGUGCAGUUGGAAUACUGCCCUACGGAGUGGAUGGUUGCGGAUGUACUAACAAAGGCUCUGGGCGAGGUGAAGUUCAAACGUUGCCGAGAUGCUAUGGGCCUUGUGUGAAGUAUGCAGAUGAACUUGGUACUCGUUGGGAUACGGCCCGAGGGGGCGUGUUGAGGAAACGGUCCUCUCCCAACUCGUGUGGUUGUCGACCAGGGGAUUUGACCCCGGGUCUGCACCUGACUAAUGGGGAAAUCUUACCCCAGAACCUUAUGGGGCUACCGAUGCAUAUCCGGUAGCUAAGUGAUAGACAUUAGGGCACCGUCUGGACGGCGCAGUGAGAUCGCGGAAUGUACGUGCAGUUAGAUCGCGGAAUGUACGAGUUUUCCGCUAGCGCCGGUAUUUAGGGCGGUGACUGCGCCUAUUAGUUUAUCUCACAACGAUCGGUAUUCCUACCAGGAAUCUCCUCAAGUCCUGCCGAACGCUAACAAUACUCUUUACAUUACUUGUAACAGUUUAUCGUGCUAAAUAUCUUCGCCACCGGCAAUCCUUCCGGAAUAACAAUUAGCGUUAGCUGUCACCGUCGCCAAUUCUUCAAUAGCGAUGGACGAGGAGAUCGCCGCCCAGAUGGCUAACAGUACUUGGGAGCUGAAAACGCCACCUCCAGGUACUCAUUUACUGCCGUGUCGUUGGGUGUAUAAGGUUAAGUACAACGAUGACGGCAGCGUGGAGCGUUUUAAGGCGCGAUUGGUUGCAAAGGGUUUCGAGCAACGCGAGGGGAUUGAUUAUGGGGAGUUGUUUGCACCUACCUCACGUGGUUCGUCAUUACGUGCUUUAUUAGCAGUUGCCGCAGCGCGGAACAUGACGGUACACCAGCUUGAUGUGUCUACUGCAUUUUUGAACGGCGAGUUGAAGGAGGAGUUGUGGAUGCAGCAACCACCUGGGUAUGAAUCCAGUGACCGGUCGCUUGCGUGGAAGCUGGAGAGGUCUAUUUACGGUUUGAAGCAGGCACCCCGUUGCUGGUAUGAAAAGCUAUCGGCAGAGUUCGCCAAGCUGGGUCUUUAUCCUUCGAAGUCUGAUCCGGCGAUGUUCGUUAAGACGGACGAGCGUGGGGUCGUUAUUGCUUUGGUGCAUGUAGAUGAUACCAUUGUUGCAUCAGAAGACCCAGACAUGGUCCGGGCAAUUAAAGCCGCAAUUGCGAAGGUCUUCAAGGUGCGUGACCUUGGAGAAGCGAAGGUGUUUGGGGGCAUGGAAAUUUCGGAGGGAAAAAUCGGGUGAGAUAGUGUUGUCGCAGCAUAGGUAUAUUGAGCAGCUGUUGGAGCGUCAUAGGAUGGUUGAUGCCAAGCCGAGGUCUACCCCUUUGCCUCCGGGCUUUAGGUACACUCCUAAGGGGGACGGAGAGGAGCUGCUGGGCAAUCCCACGGAGUAUAGGGCUUUGGUGGGAGGAUUGAACUAUCUGGCGACGAACACGAGGCCUGACAUUUCGUAUGCCUUGAGCGUUUUGUCCCGGCAUAUGGCCACACCUACGAAGACUGCCAUGAACUUGGCCACUGGCGUUCUGCGUUACCUGGCGGGUACUCGCGAACUAGGAUUGCGUUUUGGGGGUGUUGGCGGUGUUGCAAUGUCCGGGUACAGUGAUUCGGACUGGGCAGGAGACCCAGUUACGAGGCGUUCUACGUCCGGUUACGUAUUCACUCUUAAUGGGGCUGCGAUUAGUUGGAGCAGCCAACUUCAACGUACUGUAGCGGCUUCGUCGGUGGAGGCCGAGUAUCAAGCGACAGCAGCAGCUGUUCGCGAGGCUUUGUGGCUUCGCAAGCUGAUGGUUGAUUUGGGUUUGCCUGAGAGCGCUAUUAGAAUCCAAAUAGAUUCCCAGGGGGCGCUUAGCUUGGGAAAUAACCCGAUUACGUCUGCUCGGUCGAAGCACAUCGACGUGCAGCAUCACAUAGUGCGUGAGAGGGUGAAUAGUGGUGAGGUGCAGUUGGAAUACUGCCCUACGGAGUGGAUGGUUGCGGAUGUGCUAACGAAGGCUCUGGGCGAGGUGAAGUUCAAACGUUGCCGAGAUGCUAUGGGCCUUGUGUGAAGUGUGCAGAUGAACUUGGUACUCGUUGGGAUACUGCCCGAGGGGGCGUGUUGAGGAAACGGUCCUCUCCCAACUCGUGUGGUUGUCGACCAGGGGAUUUGACCCCGGGUCUGCGCCUGACUAAUGCGGAAGACUUACCCCAGAACCUUAUGGGCUACCGAUGCAUAUCCGGUAGCUAAGUGAUAGACAUUAGGGCACCGUCAGGACGGCGCAGUGAGAUCGCGGAAUGUACGUGCAGUUAGAUCGCGGAAUGUACGAGUUUUCCGCUAGCGCCGGUAUUUAGGGCGGUGACUGCGCUUAUUUGUUUAUCUCACUACGAUCGGUAUUCCUCAUAGGAAUCUCCUCAAGUCCUGCCGAACGCUAAUAAUACUCUUUAAUAAUACUCUUUACAUUACUUGUAACAUUUUAUCGUGCUAAAUAUCUUCGCCACCGGCAAUCCUUCCGGAAUAACAAUCAGCGUUAGCCGUCACCGUCGCCAAUUCUUCAAUAGGUUCGCGUUAUGUGACAACUCUGCUUGACGACCAUACUGGUCUUUCAGCUGUUGCGUUUACAGCGACCAAGGAGGAGGUCUACCAGAAGAUGGUGGUUAUGAUAGCGGAACUGGAGCGCGCUUCUGGCAGGCAGGUUAAGGAGGUGCGUACGGAUCGUGGCGGGGAGUUCGUUAAUACUCGCACGAAGGCCUAUUUCGCUUCNNNNNNNNNNNNNNNNNNNNNNNNNNNNNNNNNNNNNNNNNNNNNNNNNNUGGCAGUCUCCAUGGCCUCGAUGUUCCUGAAGCGUUCCUCGCCGGGCCGAGCCGCGAGGACGUUGCGCCACGCGUCCUCAAUGUCCAUUACCGCAUUGUAGCAUUUCUCGAUAUGCGCGCGCUGUCCGCUGAGAGACUUGUUCGCUUUGCCCUCGCUGGCGCCGAAGUCACAUUUGAAAUCCUCAAGGGCGACACGGGCCCGCUUCGCCGGUGGACCGUCGACCGCCUGCACGUCAGGCUUCGUGUCCAUAAGCUUCUUAAUGGUUGUCAGCUGCAGCUUCACGGCGUUCAGCUGGUCCAUGGCAGCCAGCUGCUGCUUGUUCAAAAUUACGCCCGGGUCAGCGGCGCGACGCUCCUGCGCAGCCUUGACAUCUUUAUUUUCCUUAAGUGCGACUAGUCGCGCUUUUAGUUCGGUGUACAUCGUGUUGUAGCUGACCGAAGUCUCGCUGUCAGAAUCGGACUUUGUAAUUGAGGGCACACUACCACGAAGCGGAACACCAAGGCCUACAGACCAACCGCUUCACGGCAGCACCCAAACGUAGCUACGAACAACCCGAAUUAGCAAACACUGUCGCGUGCCGCGACACAAGAGCCACACUGGCUCGUACGCCAUACGGCAAAGACACUCCGUAUUCGCAGAAAACCUUAGUUUUCAACGCUUCACGUAGAAAACUGUCAGUUUUCAUGCGAAGACUACGUUACAAACAAGUACCUGCACGCAAGGAAAGAACGUCUUCGUGAAAGGGUAGGGCCGGGUGAGGGCACACUACCACGUGCCCAGGCUUGUUGCAGUAGUAGCAGAUGAGUUCCUGUUGAAGGGCGGUCCUAUCCCAACGUAGAUAAUUGGUGGUUAGGCGAUGAUUCCACCGUGAUAGGCGAUGCCUCGGACGUGCAUCGACCUUGCCUCGGCCGUGCCUAGACCUUGCCUCGGCCAUGCCUAGACUUGCCUCGGCCGUACCUCGACCUUGCCUCGGGUCUCUCGGCCGCGUAUCUCGGACGUGACCUCAGGUCCAGGGAUGGUGGACAUCUGUACGAUACUUCCAUUGGUACUGGUAUAUAAGGCACGAGUUGUGCUAGUCUUUGUAUCUCAUCUUUGUAUGGAUCGGUAUUCCUCAGUAGGAAUCUCCUAAAGUCUUCCAGCCGUUUACCACUCACCUACCGAUUGUAAUACUUAUAUCGCGACCAGUCUCCUUGCCUCC